RNAcentral lists this unclassified non-coding RNA (240 nucleotides) under soil metagenome. Its description in RNAcentral is "partial contains 5.8S ribosomal RNA, internal transcribed spacer 2, and large subunit ribosomal RNA". The record is from RNAcentral.
AACCAUUCUCACCUGCGGCUAGACCUGCGGAAGGAUCAUUACUGAGUCACGUGCUCAAACAACCCUUCUGUGGACCUGAAAUAAAACCGUUGCCUCGGCGGGCGGUCCCCCCCAAACCAACCCCACGUGGUGGGUUAGGGGAGACCAGACAGUCCGGUACGCUUAUGGCGUCCGGCGCCAGCCGCUGGCCCCAAACAAUUAAACUCUAGUAAUCUUUACCUUCUGAAUUUCAAUAUUUAA